CCAAUAGCGUAUAUUAAAGUUGUUGCAGUUAAAAAGCUCGUAGUUGAAUAUCGGGGUUCUUCCGUUGGUCAGGCUAACAAGUCUGUACUAGCGUGUAGAAUCUCUACCUUCUGGGGAACCAUCAUGUUAUUAAUUUAGCGUGGUGGGAAACCAGGACCUUUACCUUGAAAAAAUUAGAGUGUUCAAAGCAGGCUUACGUCUGAAUACAUUAGCAUGGAAUAAUAAAAUAGGACGGUGGUCCUGUUUUGUUGGUUUCUGAAUCACCGUAAUGAUUAAUAGGGAUAGUUGGGGGCAUUAGUAGUCAAUUGUCAGAGGUGAAAUUCUUGGAUUUAUUGAAGACUAACUUCUGCGAAAGCAUUUGCCAAGGAUGUUUUCAUUAAUCAAGAACGAAAGUUAGGGGAUCGAAGACGAUCAGAUACCGUCGUAGUCUUAACCAUAAACUAUGCCGACUAGGGAUCGGACGAUGUUAAAUUUUAUUGACUCGUUCGGCGCCUUACG
This 498-nucleotide unclassified non-coding RNA is filed under the name uncultured Scutellospora. RNAcentral describes it as "SSU rRNA". It matches the Rfam family "Eukaryotic small subunit ribosomal RNA", at positions 591 to 1092 of the family's 1831-position model. The record is from RNAcentral. Lineage: Eukaryota; Fungi; Glomeromycota; Glomeromycetes; Diversisporales; Gigasporaceae.